RNAcentral lists this transfer-messenger RNA (383 nucleotides) under Corynebacterium uterequi. RNAcentral's name for it is "Standard tmRNA". It matches the Rfam family "transfer-messenger RNA". Rfam says of the family: Bacterial tmRNA, also known as 10Sa RNA or SsrA, is named for its dual tRNA and mRNA-like properties. Its role is to liberate the mRNA from a stalled ribosome. The record is from Rfam by way of RNAcentral. Lineage: Bacteria; Bacillati; Actinomycetota; Actinomycetes; Mycobacteriales; Corynebacteriaceae.
GGGGCUGAUUUUGGUUUCGACUUCGGAUAUUGAGCCAGGGGAAGCGUGCCGGUGCAGGCUAGAGACCACCGUAAGCGUCGCAGCAACUGAUAAGCGCCGAGAAGACCUCUCAGCGUGACUACGCCCUCGCUGCCUAAUUAAGCGAGCUUGCGUGUCUGUCAGACCGGGUUCGUCACUGGCCCGGACCCUGGCAUCGACUUAGGUGACUUGCUUCCCAGUCGCGUUGGCGGGGCUGGGAGGGACUGCUACCGCUAACUGGGCCCAUCAUCCGGGGCGGCGUCCGCCCAAGCCGGAGGGUCGAGCAGAGAUCCAUGCGGACUGCGCACGGAGAAGCCCUGGCGAAGUGCCGGAGGACCGGGGUUCAAUUCCCCGCAGCUCCACAA